Long non-coding RNA from Alosa sapidissima (American shad), 401 nucleotides. RefSeq lists it as uncharacterized. The record is from RefSeq and is a predicted model, not a curated record. Lineage: Eukaryota; Metazoa; Chordata; Actinopteri; Clupeiformes; Clupeidae. The transcript is spliced from 3 exons.
UUACUGACAAUAGCCUAAGCAUGAUCAAUGGCAACGUCUGACUGAUAGGCCUGCCUAUACAGAGAGAGAUGAAGAGACUGUCUGACUGACUUUUGUGCAAAAAAGUGAAAUAAUACUGUUCAUAAUAUUUUUCCCCUCAGGACCAGAUGGCUGUGUGACAUGUUUUCAGUUCUGUGCAAGGAACCACCAUCACACCAUGACGUCAAUGUCAACAGCAGAAGGAAAAUUACUCUGCAGGCCCUUCCCAUCUUCCCGUGGGAAGAUGGAUUUUUUAAGACCUGGAAUGCAGAAGAAAUUGACCUGCCAGACUUCUCGGAUGCAGCUGUAGCUAUUCUCACUGUCUCGGGUGAUACAGACUCCCUUGUGAAGUUUGGUCCUGCUAUCCAUUAUAUAGUUCUUGA